GAUGAACGCUGGCGGCGUGCCUAAUACAUGCAAGUCGAGCGAACAGACGAGGAGCUUGCUCCUCUGACGUUAGCGGCGGACGGGGGAGUAAAACGUGGAUAACCUACCUAUAAGACUGGGAUAACUUCGGGAAACCGGAGCUAAUACCGGAUAAUAUAUUGAACCGCAUGGUUCAAUAGUGAAAGACGGUUUUGCUGUCACUUAUAGAUGGAUCCGCGCCGCAUUAGCUAGUUGGUAAGGUAACGGCUUACCAAGGCAACGAUGCGUAGCCGACCUGAGAGGGUGAUCCGCCACACUGGAACUGAGACACGGUCCAGACUCCUACGGGAGGCAGCAGUAGGGAAUCUUCCGCAAUGGGCGAAAGCCUGACGGAGCAACGCCGCGUGAGUGAUGAAGGUCUUCGGAUCGUAAAACUCUGUUAUUAGGGAAGAACAAAUGUGUAAGUAACUAUGCACGUCUUGACGGUACCUAAUCAGAAAGCCACGGCUAACUACGUG
Molecule: ribosomal RNA, 497 nt
Filed under: uncultured bacterium
Lineage: Bacteria
Description: partial 16S ribosomal RNA
Rfam family: Bacterial small subunit ribosomal RNA
Source: RNAcentral